CCUACGGGAGGCAGCAGUGGGGAAUAUUGGACAAUGGGCGCAAGCCUGAUCCAGCCAUGCCGCGUGUGUGAAGAAGGCCUUCGGGUUGUAAAGCACUUUUAUCCGGAAAGAAAAGCUUUGGGUUAAUACCCUGAAGUCAUGACGGUACCGGAAGAAUAAGCACCGGCUAACUUCGUGCCAGCAGCCGCGGUAAUACGAAGGGUGCAAGCGUUACUCGGAAUUACUGGGCGUAAAGCGUGCGUAGGUGGUUUGUUAAGUCUGAUGUGAAAGCCCUAGGCUCAACCUGGGAAUUGCAUUGGAUACUGGCAGGCUAGAGUGCGGUAGAGGAUAGUGGAAUUCCCGGUGUAGCAGUGAAAUGCGUAGAGAUCGGGAGGAACAUCUGUGGCGAAGGCGACUAUCUGGGCCAGCACUGACACUGAGGCACGAAAGCGUGGGGAGCAAACAGGAUUAGAUACCCUGGUAGUCCACGCCCUAAACGAUGCGAACUGGAUGUUGGGUGCACUAGCACUCNGUAUGAGACUACGACGUUACGUUACGUCCGCCGUCGGGAGGUACGGUCGCGAGACGUAGAACGUACGAAAGGAAAGUUAGUACGGCGUGAGACGUUAGGCCGACGGACGACCGACCGAGGGGAGGUAGGG
This 641-nucleotide ribosomal RNA is filed under the name uncultured bacterium. RNAcentral describes it as "bacterial SSU rRNA". The stretch from base 1 to 546 matches the Rfam family "Bacterial small subunit ribosomal RNA", at positions 338 to 873 of the family's 1533-position model. The record is from RNAcentral.